Molecule: ribosomal RNA, 1389 nt
Filed under: uncultured prokaryote
Description: partial 16S ribosomal RNA
Rfam family: Bacterial small subunit ribosomal RNA
Source: RNAcentral
AGAGUUUUGGGUCUGGCUCAGAUUGAACGCUGGCGGCAGGCCUAACACAUGCAAGUCGAGCGGUAACAGAUCUAGCUUGCUAGAUGCUGACGAGCGGCGGACGGGUGAGUAAUGCUUGGGAAUAUGCCUUAUGGUGGGGGGAGAAAUUCGGAUUAAUACCGCAUAAUCUCUACGGAGUAAAGGUGGCCUCUCCUUGGAAGCUAUCGCUACUAGAUAAGCCCGCGUCUGAUUAGCUUGUUGGUGAGGUAAUGGCUCACCAAGGCAACGAUCAGUAGCUGGUCUGAGAGGAUGAUCAGCCACACUGGAACUGAGACACGGUCCAGACUCCUACGGGAGGCAGCAGUGGGGAAUAUUGCACAAUGGGCGCAAGCCUGAUGCAGCCAUACCGCGUGUGUGAAGAAGGCUCUAGGGUCGUAAAGUACUUUCAGUAGGGAGGAAAGGUUAGCCGUUAAUAACGGUUAGCUGUGACGUUACUCGCAGAAGAAGGACCGGCUAACUCCGUGCCAGCAGCCGCGGUAAUACGGAGGGUCCGAGCGUUAAUCGGAAUUACUGGGCGUAAAGCGUACGCAGGCGGUUUGUUAAGCGAGAUGUGAAAGCCCCGGGCUCAACCUGGGAACUGCAUUUCGAACUGACAAACUAGAGUUUUGUAGAGGGUGGUAGAAUUUCAGGUGUAGCGGUGAAAUGCGUAGAGAUCUGAAGGAAUACCAGUGGCGAAGGCGGCCACCUGGACAAUAACUGACACUGAGGCGCGAAGGCGUGGGGAGCAAACGGGAUUAGAUCCCCCGGUAGUCCACGCCGUAAACGAUGUCAACUAGCCGACUGGCGCCUUGGAUCUGAGUGGCGCAGCUAACGCACUAAGUUGACCGCCUGGGGAGUACGGCCGCAAGGUUAAAACUCAAAUGAAUUGACGGGGGCCCGCACAAGCGGUGGAGCAUGUGGUUUAAUUCGAUGCAACGCGAAGAACCUUACCUGGCCUUGACAUCCUCGGAAUUUCGCAGAAACGUGAAAGUGCCUUCGGGAGCCAAGAGACAGGUGCUGCAUGGCUGUCGUCAGCUCGUGUCGUGAGAUGUUGGGUUAAGUCCCGCAACGAGCGCAACCCCUAUCUCUAGUUGCCAGCGAUUCGGUCGGGAACUCUAGAGAGACUGCCGGUGAUAAACCGGAGGAAGGUGGGGAUGACGUCAAGUCAUCAAGGCCCUUACGGCCAGGGCUACACACGUGAUACAAUGGAUAAUACAGAGGGUUGCGAACCCGUAAGGAGGAGCUAAUCUCAGAAAAUUAUCCGUAGUCCAGAUUGGAGUCUGCAACUCGGCUCCAUGAAGUCGGUAUCGCUAGUAAUCGCGAAUCAGCAUGUCGCGGUGAAUACCUUCCCAGGCCUUGUACACACCGACC